Molecule: ribosomal RNA, 292 nt
Filed under: uncultured bacterium
Lineage: Bacteria
Description: partial 16S ribosomal RNA
Rfam family: Bacterial small subunit ribosomal RNA
Source: RNAcentral
GUGCCAGCAGCCGCGGUAAGACGAACCGUACGAACGUUAUUCGGAAUUACUGGGCUUAAAGGGUGCGUAGGCGGCGCGGAAAGUAGGGUGUGAAAUCCCUCGGCUCAACCGAGGAACUGCGCUCUAAACUACCGUGCUCGAGGGAGAUAGAGGUGAGCGGAACUGAGGGUGGAGCGGUGAAAUGCGUUGAUAUCCUCAGGAACACCGGUGGCGAAAGCGGCUCACUGGAUCUCUUCUGACGCUGAGGCACGAAAGCUAGGGUAGCGAACGGGAUUAGAUACCCCGGUAGUCC